Molecule: ribosomal RNA, 488 nt
Filed under: uncultured bacterium
Lineage: Bacteria
Description: partial 16S ribosomal RNA
Rfam family: Bacterial small subunit ribosomal RNA
Source: RNAcentral
AUUGAACGCUGGCGGCAGGCCUAACACAUGCAAGUCGAACGGUAGCACAGAGAGCUUGCUCUCGGGUGACGAGUGGCGGACGGGUGAGUAAUGUCUGGGAAACUGCCCGAUGGAGGGGGAUAACUACUGGAAACGGUAGCUAAUACCGCAUAAUGUCGCAAGACCAAAGAGGGGGACCUUCGGGCCUCUUGCCAUCGGAUGUGCCCAGAUGGGAUUAGCUAGUUGGUGAGGUAAUGGCUCACCAAGGCGACGAUCCCUAGCUGGUCUGAGAGGAUGACCAGCCACACUGGAACGGAGACACGGUCCAGACUCCUACGGGAGGCAGCAGUGGGGAAUAUUGCACAAUGGGCGCAAGCCUGAUGCAGCCAUGCCGCGUGUGUGAAGAAGGCCUUCGGGUUGUAAAGCACUUUCAGCGGGGAGGAAGGCAAUACGGUUAAUAACCGUGUUGAUUGACGUUACCCGCAGAAGAAGCACCGGCUAACUCCGUG